CGCGAGCAGAGCUUACCAAUUUCUCCUCUCCAGUACCGCUCGCGGCGGCCAUUUUACUGGUUUCCUGCGCUCGGCAUGUAGCUCCACCCCCAACUACCGGACCUCGGAGUUGGGUUAAAGCUACAGUGGCGAUCGGACGGCUCCUUGCCCCCUCCUCACCCUUUCUCUUGUGACUGUAAUUGUUUUUUGUGAGUACUUUGUUUUUCUCAUAAAGGUAUAUUACCC
Molecule: non-coding RNA, 225 nt
Organism: Pelobates cultripes (western spadefoot toad)
Lineage: Eukaryota; Metazoa; Chordata; Amphibia; Anura; Pelobatidae
Source: the annotation of a GenBank genome assembly